Astyanax mexicanus (Mexican tetra) is the source of this 597-nucleotide long non-coding RNA. RefSeq lists it as uncharacterized. The transcript has 3 exons. The record is from RefSeq and is a predicted model, not a curated record. NCBI's taxonomy places the organism in Eukaryota, Metazoa, Chordata, Actinopteri, Characiformes, Acestrorhamphidae.
GAGGGAGGAAGCGGAAGCGCGCAGUCAUGGCGGGUGUGGAGAAGCAGAGCGAGGUUUCUCUCCCUAAACACUCCUACUGGUUCGACUUCUGGACUUUUCUCCUGUUUGACAUCGUGUUUUUCCUCUUCAUGUACUUUAUCGUUCCCUGAGUGACUCCAUCCAUGACAUGCAAGGAGCAGGAGAAUGGAGCUGGUGGCUGAGCUGCAGAGAAGAUGAGACUGGUUGGAGACAGCGGUACAGCCAUCACUGCACCCAUGGCUUUGUCUGAUCCAGACUUAUCCAGUAAUGUGGCCGUCUGCAGCACAGAACUACAUUUUACACUCUUUAAAACCCUGACUCAAACAGCUACACUAACCCAACACUCCGCAAAAUGAAUCUAAUCAUUCCUUUACAUGCCUUUUGUCUUUUUCUAAAUUGUGGUUAAUCUUUAAACUUGGAUAAAUUAUUAUUUUGAUUUAAUACCUCUGCUCUGUUUGCUGACCUGUAGGAAUGUUCAAGGUAUGCUGUGUGUGAAAAAGUGGUUGGUAUAAGUUUGUUUUUAUCUGAUUCAUGUGAUUCACUGGCAACUAAAAUUAAAUUCUCUUAAUAUAUUUUUAA